Molecule: ribosomal RNA, 253 nt
Filed under: uncultured bacterium
Lineage: Bacteria
Also listed under: 2 other names
Description: partial 16S ribosomal RNA
Rfam family: Bacterial small subunit ribosomal RNA
Source: RNAcentral
UACGAAGGGGGCUAGCGUUGCUCGGAAUUACUGGGCGUAAAGGGCGCGUAGGCGGUCAUUUUAGUCAGGCGUGAAAUUCCCGGGCUUAACCUGGGGACUGCGCUUGAUACUGGGUGACUAGAGGGUGGAAGAGGGUCGUGGAAUUCCCAGUGUAGAGGUGAAAUUCGUAGAUAUUGGGAAGAACACCGGUGGCGAAGGCGGCGACCUGGUCCAUUACUGACGCUGAGGCGCGACAGCGUGGGGAGCAAACAGG